RNAcentral lists this ribosomal RNA (454 nucleotides) under uncultured organism. RNAcentral's name for it is "partial 16S ribosomal RNA". It matches the Rfam family "Bacterial small subunit ribosomal RNA", at positions 331 to 801 of the family's 1533-position model. The record is from RNAcentral.
GUACACUCCUGCGGGAGGCAGCAGUGGGGAAUAUUGGACAAUGGGCGCAAGCCUGAUCCAGCCAUGCCGCGUGAGUGAUGAAGGCCCUAGGGUUGUAAAGCUCUUUCACCGGUGAAGAUAAUGACGGUAACCGGAGAAGAAGCCCCGGCUAACUUCGUGCCAGCAGCCGCGGUAAUACGAAGGGGGCUAGCGUUGUUCGGAUUUACUGGGCGUAAAGCGCACGUAGGCGGACUAUUAAGUCAGGGGUGAAAUCCCGGGGCUCAACCCCGGAACUGCCUUUGAUACUGGUAGUCUUGAGUUCGAGAGAGGUGAGUGGAAUUCCGAGUGUAGAGGUGAAAUUCGUAGAUAUUCGGAGGAACACCAGUGGCGAAGGCGGCUCACUGGCUCGAUACUGACGCUGAGGUGCGAAAGCGUGGGGAGCAAACAGGAUUAGAAACCCCAGUAGUCCCAUGAU